RNAcentral lists this ribosomal RNA (437 nucleotides) under uncultured bacterium. Its description in RNAcentral is "partial 16S ribosomal RNA". It matches the Rfam family "Bacterial small subunit ribosomal RNA", at positions 29 to 507 of the family's 1533-position model. The record is from RNAcentral.
AGCGAACGCUGGCGGCAGGCUUAACACAUGCAAGUCGAGCGGGCAUCCUUGUGGUGUCAGCGGCAGACGGGUGAGUAACGCGUGGGAACGUGCCCUUCGGUUCGGAAUAACUCAGGGAAACUUGAGCUAAUACCGGAUACGUGCGAGAGCAGAAAGGUUUAUCUGCCGAAGGAUCGGCCCGCGUCUGAUUAGCUAGUUGGUGAGGUUACGGCUCACCAAGGCGACGAUCAGUAGCUGGUCUGAGAGGAUGAUCAGCCACACUGGGACUGAGACACGGCCCAAACUCCUACGGGAGGCAGCAGUGGGGAAUAUUGGACAAUGGGGGCAACCCUGAUCCAGCCAUGCCGCGUGAGUGAUGACGGCCUUAGGGUUGUAAAGCUCUUUUCUCCGGGACGAUAAUGACGGUACCGGAGGAAUAAGCCCCGGCUAACUUCGUG